This 380-nucleotide ribosomal RNA is filed under the name uncultured eukaryote. RNAcentral's name for it is "partial 18S ribosomal RNA". It matches the Rfam family "Eukaryotic small subunit ribosomal RNA", at positions 592 to 976 of the family's 1831-position model. The record is from RNAcentral.
CAAUAGCGUAUAUUAAAGUUGUUGCAGUUAAAAAGCUCGUAGUUGGAUUUGUGGCGUACGGUGUGUUCCGGGCACUUGUUGUCUGAGUAACCUGCUGUUGCCAUCCUUGGGUGGAACCUGUGUGGCAUUAGGUUGUCGUGCAGGGGAUGCCCAUCAUUUACUGUGAAAAAAUUAGAGUGUUCAAAGCAGGCUUAUGCCGUUGAAUAUAUUAGCAUGGAAUAAUGAGAUAGGACUUUUUUGCUAUUUUGUUGGUUUGCGCAACGAGGUAAUGAUUAAUAGGGACAGUUGGGGGUAUUCGUAUUCCAUUGUCAGAGGUGAAAUUCUUGGAUUUUUGGAAGACGAACUACUGCGAAAGCAUUUACCAAGGAUGUUUUCAUUAA